RNAcentral lists this ribosomal RNA (495 nucleotides) under uncultured bacterium. RNAcentral describes it as "partial 16S ribosomal RNA". It matches the Rfam family "Bacterial small subunit ribosomal RNA", at positions 30 to 507 of the family's 1533-position model. The record is from RNAcentral.
UGAACGCUGGCGGCGUGCCUAAUACAUGCAAGUCGAGCGAACAGACGAGGAGCUUGCUCCUCUGACGUUAGCGGCGGACGGGUGAGUAACACGUGGAUAACCUACCUAUAAGACUGGGAUAACUUCGGGAAACCGGAGCUAAUACCGGAUAAUAUAUUGAACCGCAUGGUUCAAUAGUGAAAGACGGUUUUGCUGUCACUUAUAGAUGGAUCCGCGCCGCAUUAGCUAGUUGGUAAGGUAACGGCUUACCAAGGCAACGAUGCGUAGCUGACCUGAGAGGGUGAUCGGCCACACUGGAACUGAGACACGGUCCAGACUCCUACGGGAGGCAGCAGUAGGGAAUCUUCCGCAAUGGGCGAAAGCCUGACGGAGCAACGCCGCGUGAGUGAUGAAGGUCUUCGGAUCGUAAAACUCUGUUAUUAGGGAAGAACAAAUGUGUAAGUAACUAUGCACGUCUUGACGGUACCUAAUCAGAAAGCCACGGCUAACUACGUG